UUCUUCAGGGCAGGGUGAGAUUCCCGACCGGCGGUAGAGCCCGCGAGCGCAAGCAGAUCCGUUUAGAUUACGGAGCCGACAGUAGAGUCUGGAUGAGAGAAGAA
Molecule: non-coding RNA, 104 nt
Filed under: bovine gut metagenome
Description: FMN riboswitch (RFN element)
Rfam family: FMN riboswitch aptamer (RFN element)
About the family: The RFN element is a highly conserved domain that is found frequently in the 5'-untranslated regions of prokaryotic mRNAs that encode for flavin mononucleotide (FMN) biosynthesis and transport proteins.
Source: RNAcentral